CUAUAUAUAUUUCAGGAGGGGGGGGGGACGUAUAUAAGCCUUAUGCUAAGUAAAUGAGAUAUCUUAUAUAUGUUUCUAACUAUAUGUCCAAGCCAAACUUAAUUCAUUAUUGCUUUUAAUUUGAUUCACAUGAAUUCUACCAGGCCAAGCCAAACUAAGCUCUAUGCCUGACAAUUUGGCCGAGUCUAUAAUCCCAACCUUGACUCCAUAUUAACUUGACAUAUACAUAGUCCUCAAAGUCCUAGACAUAUUUAUUUUCUUAGUAGACUUGUAUAAGUAAACGUUUGGGCAAAACAUACUCUCUUAUUGCUUUUGGCCAAAGUGAUCGAUUUGGAGUCUUCUUAAUGGAAACCAAGCAUAUGAAAUCAAUGUCAAAAUCACAAUCUUGCAAAAUUCCAAAGCACAGGCACAUGUUGUCCACACUCCUCAAGCUAAGAAUCAAGACUUUUGUGCUACGUGUCAAUGUCGCGUGUCAGAUGAUAAUUGUAGUAGUGGAGCCAACUAGCCAAGAGCCUCACAACUUGUUGAAUCAAGUAUCCACUACGGAGCUAUAGUGGUCAUCACCAUUGAAAUAUUCACCAUGCAUUACUUUUCCAGCAACAUAUGUAGAUGCUCAUUGCUCAGCAGCUAUGGCCACAAAAAAUAAUAUGCAUUGCAUUGAUGCUAAGAGGGAAAGAAGAAAAAACAUUUCACUUAACUUGUUUCACAGCUUCCUUCCUUUCUCUUUGUUACCACUAAAUUUGUGCACGAUGUGACGUCUCUUGUUAAAACUUCAGUUACGUUUUCUUAAUCCUUUCUUACUCAGGAUUAAGAAACCUGAAGUUUUUUACUUUUUUUUUUCUUAGGAAUGACAAAAUUUUGGUUCUACCUAGUACCUAUUUAACAAACUGGCUCUAAACCACAAUCAUCAUUUAAAUUAAAUGAUAAGAAUUUACCACUUUUUCGGCAUGCAGCUGAUUCAUGACACCUCCAUUGAGAAUUGAGAUAGA
RNAcentral lists this long non-coding RNA (989 nucleotides) under Lotus japonicus. RNAcentral's name for it is "long non-coding RNA (LJAP_LNC002052)". The record is from RNAcentral. Lineage: Eukaryota; Viridiplantae; Streptophyta; Magnoliopsida; Fabales; Fabaceae.